This 69-nucleotide transfer RNA is filed under the name Rattus norvegicus (Norway rat). It matches the Rfam family "tRNA". Rfam says of the family: Transfer RNA (tRNA) molecules are approximately 80 nucleotides in length. Their secondary structure includes four short double-helical elements and three loops (D, anti-codon, and T loops). Lineage: Eukaryota; Metazoa; Chordata; Mammalia; Rodentia; Muridae. The record is from Rfam by way of RNAcentral.
GGGGAUUUAGCUCAGUGGUAGAGCGUUUGCCUAGCAGGCACAAGGCCCUGGGUUCGGUCCCCAGCUCUG